Molecule: long non-coding RNA, 1040 nt
Organism: Syngnathus acus (greater pipefish)
Lineage: Eukaryota; Metazoa; Chordata; Actinopteri; Syngnathiformes; Syngnathidae
Exons: 2
Source: RefSeq, a predicted model, not a curated record
GCGGUCAACCUUAUUUGUCCCUGCGGGGCCUUGGGCAGCUAUGAAACAAUCUGCCAGCAAGGUUAAACUAUAUUACGCCACUCGGGAUAAACAAGUCUUGCAGCCUAAUUGCAGAGGAGCCGACCAGCCUAGAUUUGCCCCAAGGUUGCUAGCGGGCGUCUUAAGGUCACUCGAUGACCCUCUGGGGCCAUCCGAGGAACAACAACUUGGGAAUCUUCGCUCUCUUGCAAAGUGAGGUCAUGUUUUCCAAAAACCAUGUUCUCAUGUUGCCUGGCACACGCUAUCAACAUGCUUUGUGGAAAUACGGCCAAGCAGACAUACGGGCAUCCUGUGCCAUCGGGAGCGCUAACAAUGGACGAAAAACAAGUCGCUGAUACUGUACGAGCCGGUCCCUCCGGGAGAUAAAAAAGCCGCCCCUUGUGUUGUGUGGCUUGUGUUUGCCUCCCACGUACUAGUGGAUUAAUGGCUGGAGCUGCUGUGCUGAGAUGACUGAUGACUUUAGAGCUUUGAACCCCCCCCCACACACACACACCAAGCUGUCACCUCACUGUCUCCGGCGGGGUCGCUGGACGGCGUCACCUCGCUCUUACAGGAGAUAAAGGUGACAAGAUGAUGUCCCACAGGCCCCGCUGUCAAUCGAUGGAUCAUUAAAAAACAAAAGCACCUGCAGAGAAUCACGUUCCUUUGCGUCAAGUUAGACUAUAUAAAAUAUAAUGUUCAGUUUUAAUAAUCAAAGAUUGUAAUUCGAUUAUUAUUAGAUUUUUUUAUUAUUGUGAUUGUAGUUAACACAGCAGAGCGAGUAGGUGCCGUUCCUAAUAUUUUGACCAUCCCUCAUACCUACUGUGAUGACUCCUCACGCCGGAGUCAUCAAAACACCUAAUUAUGACUCGGUCCUGACGUGCCCGCUCACGACUGUAAACAUCCGCAAGACGAUUUAGAUGUGAAUCAUGGUUGAAUUUAUGGAUGUAUUACUUGUUUGUCAUUCGGGGCGAGAAACAUGUAGCGUCUUAGUUGAAUGAUUAAAGGAGACAGAUCUUCUA